AUUGAACGCUGGCGGCAGGCUUAACACAUGCAAGUCGAGCGAGCGGCGGACUGGUGAGUAAUUUCUGGGAAACUGCCUGAUGGCGGGGGAUAACUACUGGAAACGGUAUCUAAUACCGCAUACCAUCAGAUGUGCCCCGAUGGGAUUCGCGAUGAGGUGGGGUAAUGGCUCACCUAGGCGACGAUCCCUAGCUGGUCUGAGAGGAUGACCAGCCAACCUGGAACUGAGACACGGUCCAGACUCCGACGGGAGGCAGCAGUGGGGAAUAUUGCACAAUGGGCGCAAGCCUGAUGCAGCCAUGCCGCGUGUGUGAAGAAGGCCUUCGGGUUGUAAAGCACUUUCAGCGAGGAGGCGUUACUCGCAGAAGAAGCACCGGCUAACUCCGUGCCAGCAGCCGCGGUAAUAC
This 406-nucleotide ribosomal RNA is filed under the name uncultured bacterium. RNAcentral's name for it is "partial 16S ribosomal RNA". It matches the Rfam family "Bacterial small subunit ribosomal RNA", at positions 30 to 526 of the family's 1533-position model. The record is from RNAcentral.